GUACAAUCGAGAAUGAAGUUUUCAUUCUGUACAUGCCAGAUCAUGAAUUAGUAACUGCUUCCAAUUUCCAAAAAAAAAUCCCAAUUGUGUCGAACUUUCCAUUCAUGCCAGAUCAUGAAUUAGUAACUGCUUCCAAUUUCCAAAAAAAAAUCCCAAUCGUGUCAAACUUUCCAUUUUUGGAAUAGUUACGGAAUCUCCAUGAUAGGAUCAAACCUUAUUCCAUGGUAUUUACAUGAGGUUCCUCUUUAAGA
RNAcentral lists this long non-coding RNA (251 nucleotides) under Nicotiana benthamiana. Its description in RNAcentral is "long non-coding RNA (NBEN_LNC008638)". The record is from RNAcentral. Lineage: Eukaryota; Viridiplantae; Streptophyta; Magnoliopsida; Solanales; Solanaceae.